UGACCUACGGGGGGCAGCAGUAGGGAAUUUUCGUCAAUGGGCGCAAGCCUGAACGAGCAAUGCCGCGUGAACGAGGAAGGUCUUCGGAUCGUAAAGUUCUGUUGAAGGGGAAAAAGAGCGGAGAGAGGAAAUGAACUCCGAUUGAUAUUACCCUUCGAGGAAGUCACGGCUAACUACGUGCCAGCAGCCGCGGGUAUACGUAGGUGGCGAGCGUUAUCCGGAAUGAUUGGGCGUAAAGAGUGCGUAGGCGGCCUGCUAAGUCUGGAGUGAAAGGUACCGGCUCAACCGGUACAGGCUCUGGCAAG
This 305-nucleotide ribosomal RNA is filed under the name uncultured bacterium. RNAcentral describes it as "bacterial SSU rRNA". It matches the Rfam family "Bacterial small subunit ribosomal RNA", at positions 333 to 633 of the family's 1533-position model. The record is from RNAcentral.